AUUGAACGCUGGCGGCAUGCCUUACACAUGCAAGUCGAACGGUAACGGGCCUUCGGGUGCCGACGAGUGGCGAACGGGUGAGUAAUGUAUCGGAACGUACCUUUCAGUGGGGGAUAACGUAGCGAAAGUUACGCUAAUACCGCAUAUUCUGUGAGCAGGAAAGCAGGGGAUCGCAAGACCUUGCGCUGAUUGAGCGGCCGAUAUCAGAUUAGCUAGUUGGUGAGGUAAAGGCUCACCAAGGCGACGAUCUGUAGCGGGUCUGAGAGGAUGAUCCGCCACACUGGAACUGAGACACGGUCCAGACUCCUACGGGAGGCAGCAGUGGGGAAUUUUGGACAAUGGGGGCAACCCUGAUCCAGCCAUGCCGCGUGAGUGAAGAAGGCCUUCGGGUUGUAAAGCUCUUUCGGCCGGGAAGAAAUCGUAUGGGUUAAUACCCUGUGCGGAUGACGGUACCGGCAUAAGAAGCACCGGCUAACUACGUGCCAGCCGCCGCAGUAA
This 498-nucleotide ribosomal RNA is filed under the name uncultured bacterium. RNAcentral describes it as "partial 16S ribosomal RNA". It matches the Rfam family "Bacterial small subunit ribosomal RNA", at positions 30 to 523 of the family's 1533-position model. The record is from RNAcentral.